AACAUAUUCCUAUAUAUACAGUAUAUUAAAGGACAAAACAUUAGAAACUCUAAGAUAAUAAAAAUAUUAAAACAUUAGAAGUUAUAAGAAAUUUGAAGCGUUCUUAAUUAGUGAAAGAAACGCAGCUAGUUAUUUCUGCCCCUGAAGGACAUUUCAUCAAUCAAAGUACAUGCAUAUUCCUUUGAAAAAUGGAUUCAUGUUACCGAAGCAACUCUUUGUUUCUUCAACUGAAAUGCUUACUUUUCAAUCCUUUUCCAUUAGUGUUUUGGAGCCUCCAGAAUUGUAGCUAAAGUAGAAUGAUAAGCCUUCCAAUGAACAAUUGUUCAGAAUAAUUACUCUAGCCUAGUAACCAAGAAAACUAUCAAGAGACGAAGCACCCUUCCAUUCUAAUUAUACAAUAAUCAUAAUUAAGAAUAGAAACAAGAUUCAAAUUCUUAUCUAUCAUAUCCAAGGCUAUCAAAUCGAGAUUAAUUGUGAUUGCAAAGCUGAUUUUAGAACUGUAAGUUAUAAUUUGUAUAAAAUUUCAAUAUUUAAAGACAAAAUAUAACUUCAAAUAUACAAUACAUAUGAAAUAAAGUAGCUUGAC
This 586-nucleotide long non-coding RNA is filed under the name Vigna radiata. RNAcentral's name for it is "long non-coding RNA (VRAD_LNC012651)". Lineage: Eukaryota; Viridiplantae; Streptophyta; Magnoliopsida; Fabales; Fabaceae. The record is from RNAcentral.